GCCGGGGGGGGUGCUUACACAUGCAAGUCGAACGAUGAAGCCCUUCGGGGUGGAUUAGUGGCGAACGGGUGAGUAACACGUGGGCAAUCUGCCCUGCACUCUGGGACAAGCCCUGGAAACGGGGUCUAAUACCGGAUAUGACUGUCCACCGCAUGGUGGAUGGUGUAAAGCUCCGGCGGUGCAGGAUGAGCCCGCGGCCUAUCAGCUUGUUGGUGAGGUAGUGGCUCACCAAGGCGACGACGGGUAGCCGGCCUGAGAGGGCGACCGGCCACACUGGGACUGAGACACGGCCCAGACUCCUACGGGAGGCAGCAGUGGGGAAUAUUGCACAAUGGGCGAAAGCCUGAUGCAGCGACGCCGCGUGAGGGAUGACGGCCUUCGGGUUGUAAACCUCUUUCAGCAGGGAAGAAGCGAAAGUGACGGUACCUGCAGAAGAAGCGCCGGCUAACUACGUGCCAGCAGCCGCGGUAAUACGUAGGGCGCAAGCGUUGUCCGGAAUUAUUGGGCGUAAAGAGCUCGUAGGCGGCUUGUCACGUCGGUUGUGAAAGCCCGGGGCUUAACCCCGGGUCUGCAGUCGAUACGGGCAGGCUAGAGUUCGGUAGGGGAGAUCGGAAUUCCUGGUGUAGCGGUGAAAUGCGCAGAUAUCAGGAGGAACACCGGUGGCGAAGGCGGAUCUCUGGGCCGAUACUGACGCUGAGGA
RNAcentral lists this ribosomal RNA (700 nucleotides) under Streptomyces sp. Its description in RNAcentral is "bacterial SSU rRNA". It matches the Rfam family "Bacterial small subunit ribosomal RNA", at positions 35 to 752 of the family's 1533-position model. The record is from RNAcentral. Lineage: Bacteria; Bacillati; Actinomycetota; Actinomycetes; Kitasatosporales; Streptomycetaceae.